This 483-nucleotide ribosomal RNA is filed under the name uncultured bacterium. Its description in RNAcentral is "partial 16S ribosomal RNA". It matches the Rfam family "Bacterial small subunit ribosomal RNA", at positions 30 to 506 of the family's 1533-position model. The record is from RNAcentral.
AUUGAACGCUGGCGGCAGGCCUAACACAUGCAAGUCGAGCGGAUGAAGGGAGCUUGCUCCUGGAUUCAGCGGCGGACGGGUGAGUAAUGCCUAGGAAUCUGCCUGGUAGUGGGGGAUAACGUCCGGAAACGGGCGCUAAUACCGCAUACGUCCUGAGGGAGAAAGUGGGGGAUCUUCGGACCUCACGCUAUCAGAUGAGCCUAGGUCGGAUUAGCUAGUUGGUGGGGUAAAGGCCUACCAAGGCGACGAUCCGUAACUGGUCUGAGAGGAUGAUCAGUCAAACGGAAACGGAAAAACGGGCCGAACCCCAACGGGGGGCCGGAGGGGGGAAUUUUGAACAAUGGGCGAAAGCCUAACCCAGCCAUGGCGGGUGGGUAAAAAAGGUCUUCGGUUUGUAAAGCAUUUUAAGUUGGGGGGAAGGGCAGAAAUUUAAAACCUUGCUUUUUUGACGUUACCAACAGAAAAAGCACCGGCUAACUUCGU